Molecule: ribosomal RNA, 400 nt
Filed under: uncultured Prevotella sp.
Lineage: Bacteria; Pseudomonadati; Bacteroidota; Bacteroidia; Bacteroidales; Prevotellaceae
Description: bacterial SSU rRNA
Rfam family: Bacterial small subunit ribosomal RNA
Source: RNAcentral
UGAGGAAUAUUGGUCAAUGGGCGCGAGCCUGAACCAGCCAAGUAGCGUGAGGGAUGACUGCCCUAUGGGUUGUAAACCUCUUUUGAUUGGGAACAAAGAGCGCCACGUGUGGUGCGUUGCGUGUACCUUUCGAAUAAGCAUCGGCUAAUUCCGUGCCAGCAGCCGCGGUAAUACGGAAGAUGCGAGCGUUAUCCGGAUUUAUUGGGUUUAAAGGGAGCGUAGGCCGGAGAUUAAGCGUGUUGUGAAAUGUAGACGCUCAACGUCUGCACUGCAGCGCGAACUGGUUUCCUUGAGUACGCACAAAGUGGGCGGAAUUCGUGGUGUAGCGGUGAAAUGCUUAGAUAUCACGAAGAACUCCGAUUGCGAAGGCAGCUCACUGGAGCGCAACUGACGCUGAAGC